Molecule: non-coding RNA, 366 nt
Organism: Nipponia nippon (crested ibis)
Lineage: Eukaryota; Metazoa; Chordata; Aves; Pelecaniformes; Threskiornithidae
Source: the annotation of a RefSeq genome assembly
AUGGCCCUGCGCUUGCUGCCCUGUGCUGCAGGUGGCUGUGCCCUGGUCCAGGCAGCGCUGACUCAGCCGCCCUCGGUGUCAGCGAACCCGGGAGAAACCGUCAGGAUCACCUGCUCUGGGCUUAGCAGUGGCAGCUAUGAUUAUGUUAGCUGGUAGGAGCCGAAACUUGGCAGUGCCCCUGUCACUGUCAUCUACAGCAGCAACAAGAGACCCUCGGACAUCCCUGCACGAUUCUCCGGAUCCGUGUCUGGCUCCACGGGCACGUUAACCAUCAGUGGGGUCCAAGCCAAGGACGAGGCUGUCUAUUUCUGUGGUAGCAGGGAGCGCAGCAGUGAUGCUGUUGUAGUGACAUAUGGAGAUGUGGAA